This 433-nucleotide ribosomal RNA is filed under the name uncultured bacterium. Its description in RNAcentral is "partial 16S ribosomal RNA". It matches the Rfam family "Bacterial small subunit ribosomal RNA", at positions 29 to 507 of the family's 1533-position model. The record is from RNAcentral.
AACGAACGCUGGCGGCAGGCCUAACACAUGCAAGUCGAGCGAGAUCUUCGGGUCUAGCGGCGGACGGGUGAGUAACGCGUGGGAAUAUGCCUCUUGGUACGGAAUAGCCUCGGGAAACUGGGAGUAAUACCGUAUGUGCCCUUUGGGGGAAAGAUUUAUCGCCAAGAGAUUAGCCCGCGUUGGAUUAGGUAGUUGGUGGGGUAAUGGCCUACCAAGCCGACGAUCCAUAGCUGGUUUGAGAGGAUGAUCAGCCACACUGGGACUGAGACACGGCCCAGACUCCUACGGGAGGCAGCAGUGGGGAAUCUUAGACAAUGGGGGCAACCCUGAUCUAGCCAUGUCGCGUGAGUGAUGAAGGCCUUAGGGUUGUAAAGCUCUUUCAGCUGGGAAGAUAAUGACGGUACCAGCAGAAGAAGCCCCGGCUAACUCCGUG